CCUACGGGUGGCUGCAGUGAGGAAUAUUGGUCAAUGGACGAGAGUCUGAACCAGCCAAGUAGCGUGAAGGAUGACUGCCCUAUGGGUUGUAAACUUCUUUUAUAUGGGAAUAAAAUGUUCCACGUGUGGGAUUUUGUAUGUACCAUAUGAAUAAGGAUCGGCUAACUCCGUGCCAGCAGCCGCGGUAAUACGGAGGAUCCGAGCGUUAUCCGGAUUUAUUGGGUUUAAAGGGAGCGUAGGUGGAUUGUUAAGUCAGUUGUGAAAGUUUGCGGCUCAACCGUAAAAUUGCAGUUGAAACUGGCAGUCUUGAGUACAGUAGAGGUGGGCGGAAUUCGUGGUGUAGCGGUGAAAUGCUUAGAGAUCACGAAGAAUUCCGAUUGUGAAGGCAGUUCACUGGACUGCAACUGACACUGAGGCUCGAAAGUGUGGGUAUCAAACAGGAUUAGAUACCCUUGUAGUC
Molecule: ribosomal RNA, 460 nt
Filed under: uncultured bacterium
Lineage: Bacteria
Description: partial 16S ribosomal RNA
Rfam family: Bacterial small subunit ribosomal RNA
Source: RNAcentral